AGCGUACACGGUGGAUGCCCUGGCAGUCAGAGGCGAUGAAGGACGUGCUAAUCUGCGAUAAGCGUCGGUAAGGUGAUAUGAACCGUUAUAACCGGCGAUUUCCGAAUGGGGAAACCCAGUGUGUUUCGACACACUAUCAUUAACUGAAUCCAUAGGUUAAUGAGGCGAACCGGGGGAACUGAAACAUCUAAGUACCCCGAGGAAAAGAAAUCAACCGAGAUUCCCCCAGUAGCGGCGAGCGAACGGGGAGCAGCCCAGAGCCUGAAUCAGUGUGUGUGUUAGUGGAAGCGUCUGGAAAGGCGCGCGAUACAGGGUGACAGCCCCGUACACAAAAAUGCACAUAUUGUGAGCUCGAUGAGUAGGGCGGGACACGUGGUAUCCUGUCUGAAUAUGGGGGGACCAUCCUCCAAGGCUAAAUACUCCUGACUGACCGAUAGUGAACCAGUACCGUGAGGGAAAGGCGAAAAGAACCCCGGCGAGGGGAGUGAAAAAGAACCUGAAACCGUGUACGUACAAGCAGUGGGAGCCUCUUUUAUGGGGUGACUGCGUACCUUUUGUAUAAUGGGUCAGCGACUUAUAUUCUGUAGCAAGGUUAACCGAAUAGGGGAGCCGAAGGGAAACCGAGUCUUAACUGGGCGUUAAGUUGCAGGGUAUAGACCCGAAACCCGGUGAUCUAGCCAUGGGCAGGUUGAAGGUUGGGUAACACUAACUGGAGGACCGAACCGACUAAUGUUGAAAAAUUAGCGGAUGACUUGUGGCUGGGGGUGAAAGGCCAAUCAAACCGGGAGAUAGCUGGUUCUCCCCGAAAGCUAUUUAGGUAGCGCCUCGUGAAUUCAUCUCCGGGGGUAGAGCACUGUUUCGGCAAGGGGGUCAUCCCGACUUACCAACCCGAUGCAAACUGCGAAUACCGGAGAAUGUUAUCACGGGAGACACACGGCGGGUGCUAACGUCCGUCGUGAAGAGGGAAACAACCCAGACCGCCAGCUAAGGUCCCAAAGUCAUGGUUAAGUGGGAAACGAUGUGGGAAGGCCCAGACAGCCAGGAUGUUGGCUUAGAAGCAGCCAUCAUUUAAAGAAAGCGUAAUAGCUCACUGGUCGAGUCGGCCUGCGCGGAAGAUGUAACGGGGCUAAACCAUGCACCGAAGCUGCGGCAGCGACGCUGAUGCGUUGUUGGGUAGGGGAGCGUUCUGUAAGCCUGUGAAGGUGUGCUGUGAGGCAUGCUGGAGGUAUCAGAAGUGCGAAUGCUGACAUAAGUAACGAUAAAGCGGGUGAAAAGCCCGCUCGCCGGAAGACCAAGGGUUCCUGUCCAACGUUAAUCGGGGCAGGGUGAGUCGACCCCUAAGGCGAGGCCGAAAGGCGUAGUCGAUGGGAAACAGGUUAAUAUUCCUGUACUUGGUGUUACUGCGAAGGGGGGACGGAGAAGGCUAUGUUGGCCGGGCGACGGUUGUCCCGGUUUAAGCGUGUAGGCUGGUUUUCCAGGCAAAUCCGGAAAAUCAAGGCUGAGGCGUGAUGACGAGGCACUACGGUGCUGAAGCAACAAAUGCCCUGCUUCCAGGAAAAGCCUCUAAGCAUCAGGUAACAUCAAAUCGUACCCCAAACCGACACAGGUGGUCAGGUAGAGAAUACCAAGGCGCUUGAGAGAACUCGGGUGAAGGAACUAGGCAAAAUGGUGCCGUAACUUCGGGAGAAGGCACGCUGAUAUGUAGGUGAAGCGACUUGCUCGUGGAGCUGAAAUCAGUCGAAGAUACCAGCUGGCUGCAACUGUUUAUUAAAAACACAGCACUGUGCAAACACGAAAGUGGACGUAUACGGUGUGACGCCUGCCCGGUGCCGGAAGGUUAAUUGAUGGGGUCAGCGCAAGCGAAGCUCUUGAUCGAAGCCCCGGUAAACGGCGGCCGUAACUAUAACGGUCCUAAGGUAGCGAAAUUCCUUGUCGGGUAAGUUCCGACCUGCACGAAUGGCGUAAUGAUGGCCAGGCUGUCUCCACCCGAGACUCAGUGAAAUUGAACUCGCUGUGAAGAUGCAGUGUACCCGCGGCAAGACGGAAAGACCCCGUGAACCUUUACUAUAGCUUGACACUGAACAUUGAGCCUUGAUGUGUAGGAUAGGUGGGAGGCUUGGAAGUGUGGACGCCAGUCUGCAUGGAGCCGACCUUGAAAUACCACCCUUUAAUGUUUGAUGUUCUAACGUUGACCCGUAAUCCGGGUUGCGGACAGUGUCUGGUGGGUAGUUUGACUGGGGCGGUCUCCUCCUAAAGAGUAACGGAGGAGCACGAAGGUUGGCUAAUCCUGGUCGGACAUCAGGAGGUUAGUGCAAUGGCAUAAGCCAGCUUGACUGCGAGCGUGACGGCGCGAGCAGGUGCGAAAGCAGGUCAUAGUGAUCCGGUGGUUCUGAAUGGAAGGGCCAUCGCUCAACGGAUAAAAGGUACUCCGGGGAUAACAGGCUGAUACCGCCCAAGAGUUCAUAUCGACGGCGGUGUUUGGCACCUCGAUGUCGGCUCAUCACAUCCUGGGGCUGAAGUAGGUCCCAAGGGUAUGGCUGUUCGCCAUUUAAAGUGGUACGCGAGCUGGGUUUAGAACGUCGUGAGACAGUUCGGUCCCUAUCUGCCGUGGGCGCUGGAGAACUGAGGGGGGCUGCUCCUAGUACGAGAGGACCGGAGUGGACGCAUCACUGGUGUUCGGGUUGUCAUGCCAAUGGCACUGCCCGGUAGCUAAAUGCGGAAGAGAUAAGUGCUGAAAGCAUCUAAGCACGAAACUUGCCCCGAGAUGAGUUCU
RNAcentral lists this ribosomal RNA (2773 nucleotides) under Escherichia coli. RNAcentral describes it as "bacterial LSU rRNA". It matches the Rfam family "Bacterial large subunit ribosomal RNA". Lineage: Bacteria; Pseudomonadati; Pseudomonadota; Gammaproteobacteria; Enterobacterales; Enterobacteriaceae. The record is from RNAcentral.